Molecule: ribosomal RNA, 520 nt
Filed under: Fusobacterium naviforme
Lineage: Bacteria; Fusobacteriati; Fusobacteriota; Fusobacteriia; Fusobacteriales; Fusobacteriaceae
Description: bacterial LSU rRNA
Rfam family: Bacterial large subunit ribosomal RNA
Source: RNAcentral
GAAGGCGUUAAGGGGAGCGAAAUCAAGUAGCGAAGCCGGUGACCGUAACUGUCAAGAAAAGCCGCUAUUGUAUCAUGUCAGCCCGUACCGCAAACCGACACAGGUGGAUGAGGAGAGAAUCCUAAGGCCGGCGGGAGAAGCAUUGUUAAGGAACUCGGCAAAAUGACCCCGUAACUUCGGGAGAAGGGGUGCUGCAGAGAUGCAGCCGCAGAGAAAAGGCUCAAGCAACUGUUUAGCAAAAACACAGGUCUAUGCGAAACCGUAAGGUGAAGUAUAUGGGCUGACGCCUGCCCGGUGCUGGAAGGUUAAGAGGAGAGGUCAGCGGGGAAACCCGCGAAGCUUUGAAUUUAAGCCCCAGUAAACGGCGGCCGUAACUAUAACGGUCCUAAGGUAGCGAAAUUCCUUGUCGGGUAAGUUCCGACCCGCACGAAAGGCGUAAUGAUUUGAGCGCUGUCUCAACAAUGCACCCGGUGAAAUUGAAGUACCAGUGAAGAUGCUGGUGACCUGCGCCAGGACGGAA